Molecule: non-coding RNA, 83 nt
Filed under: bovine gut metagenome
Source: RNAcentral
CGGCGAGCAGUAACAACGAACCGGGAGAAGUCAGCAGAAGCCAUCGUACCCGAGGCGUAAAGCUCGUCGCUGAGGGGAAGGGC